RNAcentral lists this ribosomal RNA (680 nucleotides) under uncultured marine group I thaumarchaeote. RNAcentral's name for it is "bacterial SSU rRNA". It matches the Rfam family "Archaeal small subunit ribosomal RNA", at positions 242 to 923 of the family's 1478-position model. Lineage: Archaea; Thermoproteati; Nitrososphaerota. The record is from RNAcentral.
UAAUGGCCCACCAAGGCGAUUACAGGUACGGGCUCUGAGAGGAGAAGCCCGGAGAUGGGUACUGAGACAAGGACCCAGGCCCUAUGGGGCGCAGCAGGCGAGAAAACUUUGCAAUGUGCGAAAGCACGACAAGGUUAAUCCGAGUGAUUUCUGCUAAAGAAAUCUUUUGCAAGUCAUAAAACCACUAGUGAAUAAGGGGUGGGCAAGUUCUGGUGUCAGCCGCCGCGGUAAAACCAGCACCUCAAGUGGUCAGGAGGAUUAUUGGGCCUAAAGCAUCCGUAGCCGGCUCUGUAAGUUUUCGGUUAAAUCCAUGUGCUCAACGCAUGGGCUGCCGAAAAUACUGCAUAGCUAGGGAGUGGGAGAGGUAGACGGUACUCGGUAGGAAGGGGUAAAAUCCUUUGAUCUAUCGAUGACCACCUGUGGCGAAGGCGGUCUACCAGAACACGUUCGACGGUGAGGGAUGAAAGCUGGGGGAGCAAACCGGAUUAGAUACCCGGGUAGUCCCAGCUGUAAACGAUGCAGACUCGAUGAUGCAUUGGCAUAUAGUCAGUGCAGUGUCGCAGGGAAGCCGUUAAGUCUGCCGCCUGGGAAGUACGUACGCAAGUAUGAAACUUAAAGGAAUUGGCGGGGGAGCACCACAAGGGGUGAAGCCUGCGGUUCAAUUGGAUUCAACGCCGGGA